AUUGAACGCUGGCGGUAUGCCUAACACAUGCAAGUCGAACGGCAGCACAGUAAUAGCUUGCUCUGACGGGUGGCGAGUGGCGGAUGGGUGAGGAAUACAUCGGCAUCUACUUUUUCGUGGGGGAUAACGUAGGGAAACUUACGCCAAUACCGCAUACGACCUACGGGUGAAAGCAUCGGAUCUUCGGACCUUGCGCGAUUCAAUGAGCCGAUGUCGGAUUAGCUAGUUGGCGGGGUAAAGGCCCACCAAGGCGACGAUCCGUAGCUGGUCUGAGAGGAUGAUCAGCCACACUGGAACUGAGACACGGUCCAGACUCCUACGGGAGGCAGCAGUGGGGAAUAUUGGACAAUGGGCGAAAGCCUGAUCCAGCAAUACCGCGUGGGUGAAGAAGGCCUUCGGGUUGUAAAGCCCUUUUGUUGGGAAAGAAAAGCAGCAGGUUAAUACCCCGCUGUUCUGACGGUACCCAAAGAAUAAGCACCGGCUAACUUCGUG
RNAcentral lists this ribosomal RNA (492 nucleotides) under uncultured bacterium. Its description in RNAcentral is "partial 16S ribosomal RNA". It matches the Rfam family "Bacterial small subunit ribosomal RNA", at positions 30 to 507 of the family's 1533-position model. The record is from RNAcentral.